This 1205-nucleotide ribosomal RNA is filed under the name Cutibacterium acnes P6. RNAcentral describes it as "bacterial SSU rRNA". It matches the Rfam family "Bacterial small subunit ribosomal RNA", at positions 200 to 1416 of the family's 1533-position model. The record is from RNAcentral. Lineage: Bacteria; Bacillati; Actinomycetota; Actinomycetes; Propionibacteriales; Propionibacteriaceae.
UGGAAAGUUUCGGCGGUUGGGGAUGGACUCGCGGCUUAUCAGCUUGUUGGUGGGGUAGUGGCUUACCAAGGCUUUGACGGGUAGCCGGCCUGAGAGGGUGACCGGCCACAUUGGGACUGAGAUACGGCCCAGACUCCUACGGGAGGCAGCAGUGGGGAAUAUUGCACAAUGGGCGGAAGCCUGAUGCAGCAACGCCGCGUGCGGGAUGACGGCCUUCGGGUUGUAAACCGCUUUCGCCUGUGACGAAGCGUGAGUGACGGUAAUGGGUAAAGAAGCACCGGCUAACUACGUGCCAGCAGCCGCGGUGAUACGUAGGGUGCGAGCGUUGUCCGGAUUUAUUGGGCGUAAAGGGCUCGUAGGUGGUUGAUCGCGUCGGAAGUGUAAUCUUGGGGCUUAACCCUGAGCGUGCUUUCGAUACGGGUUGACUUGAGGAAGGUAGGGGAGAAUGGAAUUCCUGGUGGAGCGGUGGAAUGCGCAGAUAUCAGGAGGAACACCAGUGGCGAAGGCGGUUCUCUGGGCCUUUCCUGACGCUGAGGAGCGAAAGCGUGGGGAGCGAACAGGCUUAGAUACCCUGGUAGUCCACGCUGUAAACGGUGGGUACUAGGUGUGGGGUCCAUUCCACGGGUUCCGUGCCGUAGCUAACGCUUUAAGUACCCCGCCUGGGGAGUACGGCCGCAAGGCUAAAACUCAAAGGAAUUGACGGGGCCCCGCACAAGCGGCGGAGCAUGCGGAUUAAUUCGAUGCAACGCGUAGAACCUUACCUGGGUUUGACAUGGAUCGGGAGUGCUCAGAGAUGGGUGUGCCUCUUUUGGGGUCGGUUCACAGGUGGUGCAUGGCUGUCGUCAGCUCGUGUCGUGAGAUGUUGGGUUAAGUCCCGCAACGAGCGCAACCCUUGUUCACUGUUGCCAGCACGUUAUGGUGGGGACUCAGUGGAGACCGCCGGGGUCAACUCGGAGGAAGGUGGGGAUGACGUCAAGUCAUCAUGCCCCUUAUGUCCAGGGCUUCACGCAUGCUACAAUGGCUGGUACAGAGAGUGGCGAGCCUGUGAGGGUGAGCGAAUCUCGGAAAGCCGGUCUCAGUUCGGAUUGGGGUCUGCAACUCGACCUCAUGAAGUCGGAGUCGCUAGUAAUCGCAGAUCAGCAACGCUGCGGUGAAUACGUUCCCGGGGCUUGUACACACCGCCCGUCAAGUCAUGAAAGUUGGUA